This 1058-nucleotide long non-coding RNA is filed under the name Eucalyptus grandis. Its description in RNAcentral is "long non-coding RNA (EGRA_LNC003382)". Lineage: Eukaryota; Viridiplantae; Streptophyta; Magnoliopsida; Myrtales; Myrtaceae. The record is from RNAcentral.
AGAUUGAUCAAGAGGAAUUUAGCUGUAGCACUUUAAACAAAGGCUCGCUCUUUAAACAAAGGCUCGCUCUGACCAUUCUCAGUUGAUUCCACCCACAUAGAUCCAAACGAAAGUUAGCUAUACAAAUAAUUAAGUAAAAAGGAUUAAUUUAUUAACUUUUAGAAAACUCCCUUUUUCUACCCAAAUGGGCCUCCUUGAUCUCAGCUGCUCGUGGACCAUCUUUUCCUUCCCUCCAACUUAUUUGGUGAACAAAUCAAAGCAAAAAGUCUGGCAUCCUUUACUUUAUCGUGGGUGCACGUUGUACAUCUGUUCAUAUAUUGUCCCUGUAUGCAAACAGUUGUUAACUCAGGACAUGCCUAGAGUUGAAUAAAUGGUUUCUUGGUAGACAAAAGGGACUGCACGUGGAAAUUAAAAAAGAAAACUCGCAUGGAGCUCUUGCAAAAAGGAAUAAUAUGCACAUGCUAAGGGUAGUACAAUUAAUCAUCUCUUGUUUAUGUGUGUUUGCAGUAAUAAAAUCUUAAUGCAUAGCAUGCGAGUAUGACAAACGAAGGGUUACUGAUAUGAAAUUGUUUAAAUAUAUCAUAUAUCGCUUGACUGUGAGAUUCAUAUAUUAUUUACGUAAAUAGGAUGUCCCUCGACUUAUUUGCCUAAACUUUUGGGUUAAACAUUUUAAUAUAUUGUCAGUUUCUGCCUCAAUUUAUUUCGCGUGUGUGUCUACUAUAUGUCACUCUUAAUUCAGCUUACACAUUAGAGGGAUUAUUGAAAUAUAUCUCAUCAUAUGCUCUUAUAUACAUGUACUAUCCCUUCAUCUAUAAGUUUAAGUUAUUAUGUUGGACUUUCUAAUGAAAAAUAAUGGAUUGAGACGACUACACCUCACAGCAUGAAUAUGAGUGAGAGUAGGGCAAGAAAUUAAAUUGGUGAAAAAAAAGAAACAAAAACAAAAACGUACCUCCUGGCACCGUAACAUAAAAAUAGCCAAUGGACACGUGUCAACUCGAGACCUUAUAUAAAUGAGAGCGGGAGGUCGUUGCGAAGCAUAAUGGAUCGUGAUAAAAGCA